CAACCUCAACUCAUAUGGGACUUCCCCCUGAAUUUAAGCAUAUUAAUUAGGGGAGGAAAAGAAACUAACAAAGAUUUUCUUAGUAGCGGCGAGCGAAAAGAAAUCAGUUCAGCACUAAGUCACUUUGUCUAUAUGGCAAAUGUGAGAUGCAGUGUACGGAACAUCAACAUUCUAGUAUGAGAAGUUAACGAUUUAAGUCCUUCUUAAAUGAGGCCAUUUACCCAUAGAGGGUGCCAGGCCCGUAUAACGUUAAUGAUUACUAGAUGGUGUUUCCAAAGAGUCGUGUUGCUUGAUAGUGCAGCACUAAGUGGGUGGUAAACUCCAUCUAAAACUAAAUAUAACCAUGAGACCGAUAGUAAACAAGUACCGUGAGGGAAAGUUGAAAAGAACUCUGAAUAGAGAGUUAAAUAGUACGUGAAACUGCUUAGAGGUUAAGCCCGAUGAACCUGAAUAUCCGUUAUGGAAAAUUCAUCAUUAGAAUUGUAAUAUUUUAAACAAUAUUAUAAUAAUAGUGUGCACUUUUUCCAUAUAAGGACAUUGUAAUCUAUUAGCAUAAAUAUUUAUC
Molecule: non-coding RNA, 565 nt
Filed under: Drosophila virilis
Lineage: Eukaryota; Metazoa; Arthropoda; Insecta; Diptera; Drosophilidae
Description: Eukaryotic large subunit ribosomal RNA
Rfam family: Eukaryotic large subunit ribosomal RNA
Source: Rfam by way of RNAcentral